Molecule: ribosomal RNA, 443 nt
Filed under: uncultured bacterium
Lineage: Bacteria
Description: partial 16S ribosomal RNA
Rfam family: Bacterial small subunit ribosomal RNA
Source: RNAcentral
CCUACGGGAGGCAGCAGUGGGGAAUAUUGGGCAAUGGGCGCAAGCCUGACCCAGCAACGCCGCGUGAAGGAAGAAGGCUUUCGGGUUGUAAACUUCUUUUCUCAGGGACGAAGAAAGUGACGGUACCUGAGGAAUAAGCCACGGCUAACUACGUGCCAGCAGCCGCGGUAAUACGUAGGUGGCAAGCGUUAUCCGGAUUUACGGGGUGUAAGGGGCGUGUAGGCGGGACUGCAAGUCAGAUGUGAAAACCACGGGCUCAACCUGUGGGCUGCCUUUGAAACUGUAGUUCUUGAGUACUGGAGAGGCGGACGGAAGUCCUAGUGUAGCGGUGAAAUGCGUAGAUAUUAGGAGGAACACCAGUGGCGAAGGCAGUCUGCUGGACAGCAACUGACGCUGAGGCGCGAAAGCGUGGGGAGCAAACAGGAUUAGAUACCCCUGUAGUC